RNAcentral lists this ribosomal RNA (255 nucleotides) under uncultured bacterium. Its description in RNAcentral is "partial 16S ribosomal RNA". It matches the Rfam family "Bacterial small subunit ribosomal RNA", at positions 524 to 776 of the family's 1533-position model. The record is from RNAcentral.
UACGUAGGGAGCAAGCGUUGUUCGGAUUUACUGGGCGUAAAGGGCGCGUAAGCGGCCACCGCAAGUCAGUUGUGAAAUCUCUGGGCUUAACCCAGAACGGUCAGCUGAUACUGCGGGGCUAGAGUGCAGAAGGGGCAACUGGAAUUCUCGGUGUAGCGGUGAAAUGCGUAGAUAUCGAGAGGAACACCUGCGGCGAAGGCGGGUUGCUGGGCUGACACUGACGCUGACAGCGCGAAAGCUAGGGGAGCGAACGGG